This 69-nucleotide transfer RNA is filed under the name Ictidomys tridecemlineatus (thirteen-lined ground squirrel). RNAcentral's name for it is "Spermophilus tridecemlineatus (thirteen-lined ground squirrel) tRNA". It matches the Rfam family "tRNA". From Rfam's summary of the family: Transfer RNA (tRNA) molecules are approximately 80 nucleotides in length. Their secondary structure includes four short double-helical elements and three loops (D, anti-codon, and T loops). Further hydrogen bonds mediate the characteristic L-shaped molecular structure. tRNAs have two regions of fundamental functional importance: the anti-codon, which is responsible for specific mRNA codon recognition, and the 3' end, to which the tRNAs corresponding amino acid is attached (by aminoacyl-tRNA synthetases). tRNAs cope with the degeneracy of the genetic code in two manners: having more than one tRNA (with a specific anti-codon) for a particular amino acid; and 'wobble' base-pairing, i.e. permitting non-standard base-pairing at the 3rd anti-codon position. The record is from Rfam by way of RNAcentral. Lineage: Eukaryota; Metazoa; Chordata; Mammalia; Rodentia; Sciuridae.
GGGGUUGUGGCUCAGUGGUAGAACGCUUGCCUAGCACGUGAGAGGCCCUGGGUUCAAUCCUCAGCACCA